AAUGGACUGGGGAGGAACAGCACUGAACUGGGAGCAGCUGCUAGCAGAAGCCCUGGGCCAGAAAGUCUUUUACUUGCUGCCUUUGUGACCGAAGAAGCAGCUGCCUCUUCUAGCUUCUGCUGAUUUCAAGAGAGACGAGCUCACUGAACAACCCAGUGGGCUACUUCAGGAGAUGUGCGCUCACUGAACCCAGUGGGCUACUCUGGAACUCGUUAGCACACAUUUUCUUCUGGGAUAAUGCCCACAAAGAGGCUUGUGCCCUGAUCCCUGGAAUCUGGAGAUCCCUGUGACAAAGGAAUAUCAAGCUUGCCAAUGGAAUUACGCUUGUCAGACAACUGACCUUGAGAGCAAAAGAUUAUCCUGAAUUAUCCGGAUGAGUCCAGUAGAAUCCAAAGGCACUUGAAAAAUGAAAGAGUGACAGGGAAGAAGCCAGAGUUGGCCAGGUGACUUAAACCCUCAGUGAGACAGAAGGACCCAUGGACCAAAGGCUGAGCAUCCUCUGGAUGCCGGAAAAGAUGCAGCAUUCUUCUCCAGUGCUCCCAGAAGAUGACAGCUCUGCUGGACCUUGAGCCUACUAGUUCAGUGAGGGCCGAGUCAGAUUUUUUUACUGAAUGGUGAGAUGUGAAAUUACACAGCAUUAGGUGAUGACAUUUUCAGCAAUGGGAAACUAAGUCAUAGCUUAAACCAACCGCCACUGCUAAUGGCCAAGUUAAGACUUCCGGUCAGCAAUGAUAUACAGUGCUAGGGGUACUUUUUAUCUGAUUUUCCAGCAGGGAUCACUCACCAUCUAGCCCUAGG
Long non-coding RNA from Microtus oregoni (creeping vole), 798 nucleotides. RefSeq lists it as uncharacterized. NCBI's taxonomy places the organism in Eukaryota, Metazoa, Chordata, Mammalia, Rodentia, Cricetidae. The transcript has 3 exons. The record is from RefSeq and is a predicted model, not a curated record.